This 133-nucleotide small RNA is filed under the name Nitrospirota bacterium. RNAcentral describes it as "Nitrospirae bacterium c-di-AMP sequence". It matches the Rfam family "c-di-AMP riboswitch aptamer (ydaO/yuaA leader)". Rfam says of the family: This family represents a conserved RNA structure found upstream of the ydaO and yuaA genes in Bacillus subtilis and related genes in other bacteria. The record is from RNAcentral. Lineage: Bacteria; Pseudomonadati; Nitrospirota.
AUCAAACAGCAGCCGAGAUCCAUUCAAAGAAUGGAUGCGGGGGACCCAAAUUUUGGGGCGUAUUCCUUUAUGGAUAGGGAACUUCCAUUCCCGAGCCCGUCAGCUAACCUCGUAGGCAUUUGGAAGGGCAAUG